GGCCGUAUCACGCUGGAACACUAGUUCCUGUAUGAUCACCGAAGUUAAGCAACGUCGAACCUGGUCAGUACCUAAAUGAGUGACCAGUUGGCAAUACCAGGUGCUGUAAG
This is a non-coding RNA of Acanthosepion pharaonis, 110 nucleotides long. Lineage: Eukaryota; Metazoa; Mollusca; Cephalopoda; Sepiida; Sepiidae. The record is from the annotation of a GenBank genome assembly.